Molecule: unclassified non-coding RNA, 418 nt
Filed under: uncultured Agaricales
Lineage: Eukaryota; Fungi; Basidiomycota; Agaricomycetes; Agaricales
Description: sequence contains ITS2
Rfam family: 5.8S ribosomal RNA (bases 1-155)
Source: RNAcentral
AACUUUGGACAACGGAUCACUUGGCUCUCGCAUCGAUGAAGAACGCAGCGAAAUGCGAUAAGUAAUGUGAAUUGCAGAUAUUCAGUGAAUCAUCGAAUCUUUGAACGCACCUUGCGCCCCAUGGUAUUCCGUGGGGCAUGCCUGUUUGAGUGUCAUUAAAUUAUCAACCUCAAUAGCUUUAUUGUCUAUUUGAUGGCUUGGACUUGAGGUGUGCUGGACUUUUAUUAGUUCGGCUCCCUUUUAAAUGCAUCAGCGGAGCUACUCGCUUCCGGCUAAUAUCGAUGUGAUAAUUAUCUUCAUCGUUGUCUGCUGGUCCCAGAGUCUGCUUAUAAUAGUCCUUUGGACAAUAUAAUGACAAUUUGACCUCAAAUCAGGUAGGACUACCCGCUGAACUUAAGCAUAUCAAUAAGCGGAGGCU